GACGAACGCUGGCGGCGUGCUUAACACAUGCAAGUCGAGCGGUAAGGCCCUUUCGGGGGUACACGAGCGGCGAACGGGUGAGUAACACGUGGGUGACCUGCCCUCAGCUCUGGGAUAAGCCUGGGAAACCGGGUCUAAUACUGGAUAUGACUCCAUGACGCAUGUUGUGGGGUGGAAAGCCUUGUGCGGCUGAGGAUGGGCCCGCGGCCUAUCAGCUUGUUGGUGGGGUGANGGCCUACCAAGGCGACGACGGGUAGCCGGCCUGAGAGGGCGACCGGCCACACUGGGACUGAGACACGACCCAGACUCCUACGGGAGCAGCAGUGGGGAAUCUUGCGCAAGUGGGGCGAAAGCCUGACGCAGCGACGCCGCGUGAGGGAU
This 381-nucleotide ribosomal RNA is filed under the name uncultured bacterium. RNAcentral's name for it is "bacterial SSU rRNA". It matches the Rfam family "Bacterial small subunit ribosomal RNA", at positions 28 to 409 of the family's 1533-position model. The record is from RNAcentral.